UUGAAAGCAUCUGCGCCGCUUUUCUCCUCCAUGUUCAAUUAUGACGUAUCCUCUCCUGUGGCCUCCUGGGAUAGAAAAGUAUCGAUCAAGGAACACUUCAGAAUCUGGGCGGAAGCAGUAGGCCAUCCGGGAACUUCUUGACUACUCAUUUAUGAUUACUGAGGUUUCUGACAUACUUAAUUGCUCGCCUACUGCUUUUCCCCUACUAAAUAGUAGACAAGUAGGCGGUUUCGGACGCAGCCAAAGAGAUUCGGCUAUUAAGUACCUACUCUUUUAGCGCUCGUUAAGUAAGUACUUAUUGAAAUGAAGUACCUACUCAUUGAGUAGGCAGUUUUGGACGCAGCCAGCGAAAGCUCUGCGUAAGGAACAAUGACUUCCUUCUUCUUCUUCUUUUAGUUUUUUGGCGGAUUGCAAUCAUGACUUAUCAGGUGCAUAGCUCCACCUACUGUACAGGAGUUUGUAGCAAUGGAUUAUGGUGCGAUAAAACUACUUUACAUAAUAUUAAUAUUAAAAACAAUGACUUCCGAUGCCGCGCCGAUAUAAAUAGGCUGCCUGAGGAAAAAUGUGGAAGUGACUGUGUCCAUUGGGGCGUAAAUGCCACCCAGGACCUUUUUAAUUGGUUUAAAGAAACACCAGGUAUCCAGUGGUCCACAAAUAUAGGGAAAUUACAGAUAGUAAGGAUUUACUAUUUGAAUGUAAUUUAUUUUUUAUUAUUUUUAUGAGAAAUUUUCAAUUCACCUAUAAGUGAAAUAUGCUUCUUAAACGACGUUUCAAAAAAAGGUUCAGGAGCAGCAUGGUCCCGAAUGAAACGUCCCCAUCUGACUAACAGAGAACCGUAUGGGGACGUUCUGUUAAUGUCCCAAAUGUCCUCUUUGUAACGAUCUUAUGUGACCAUUGAUUAACCAAUGUGGAACGUCCCUCUAAAGUCAUAUAAGGAAACUUGAACUGCAGCACUUUCAUAACCAAAAGAGGAUGUUUUACAAACAUCUCUAAUGUGAAGGUUCAGGAUUUCCGUCCCAUUUAGAGAACUUUUAGGGAAUGGUGCGCAAGGCCACGAGAACGUCCCCUCCUACAUGGGAUGGAUGUUCAUCUGCACAUCAUCAGUUUCUCAAUAGUCAGAGUAAAAAUAAAACUACUGAACUAACUAAAACUAACAUUAGUCAGAAUGUAAAUGAUCAUAGUGUAACUCUAGUGUAUAUUAGUUUGUCUGUUGUAAAUCCUGCCCACUUCUUUGCAUUGUCACACAUGCUUCAGUGCUCUGAGAGUGUUUAUAGUGCUGUGAGUUUAACACUUCAUGACUGAGAGCAGAACAGAACACAAUCUUCAUCAUCACACAAGACAAAAGAACAACAAUGAACAAAAUCACCUUCUUCAUCUCGACUCUCACACUGAUCGCUCAAGAGUGUAGAGGACAGUACACUGUAACUCAGAGUCCAUCAAUAACAGCAGUUCAACCAGGACAAGAAGUCAGAAUAAACUGUAAAACCAGCAGUGCAGUGUAUAGUGGUAAUUAUUUAGCCUGGUACUUACAGAAACCUGGAGAAGCUCCUAAACUCCUCAUAUAUGCAGCAACAAGCCGUUAUACUGGAACUCCAUCUAGAUUCAGUGGCAGUGGAUCUGGCAGUGAUUUCACUCUGACCAUCAGUGGAGUCCAGACUGAAGAUACAGGAGAUUAUUACUGUCAGAGUUUCCACUAUCCGAACAGUAAACCUGUGUUCACACAGUGAUAAAGAGUGGUACAAAAACCUCGGUCAGUCAGACGUCACAGUGAUGCACUGAUACAGCUGAGAGAUACUGCAGCUGCUGAUGGAGGAUCACAAACAACACAAUGGUGUAUCAAACCUUUCAGAAACAUUAUUUAUUUAUUUGGAUGUACUAAGCAUGUAACAUAAUCUUUAUAUUAUAUAAAUGUUAGUGGUGCUUGGUCCUGCAAAACUUUCCACUACAAUGUAAUCGAACUGCAGGAAAGUCUGUCACUUUAAUUGCACUUCCAUGCUUCAUCACUAGAUGGCGUGUCUGUUACAUAACUGAGUUCUCUAUCUGUCACUCACUUUGACGUUGUGUCGAUGUGAUGACACUAGUGUAGUGUUUCUCAACCUUUUUUACUCGAUGGCCUCCUCCUUCACCAGAUCAAUACUGCAGUGCCCCCCUAAGAUGCCUGACAUUUCCUCUUAUACUGAACUUCCACAGCAAAGAGAGAAAAGUGUUUGUAUUUAAGCCUUUUUAUUAACAUUUGUUUGCAUUAUUGCUUUUCUACUGCAUGUUUUGUAAUAUUCUUUAAUAUUCUUUUUGAAAACAUAAUUGGUAAUUUAAAGCUAUGCUUUAUAACUUAAAGAAAUCCCUCUGUUAAAUUAUAAUACUCUGAUGUUAUCCAGGUCAAGUGAUUGCAUCUGUGCCAACAGAACGAUUGAGACUCCCAUCUAAAGCCUGUCGGUUCACGUCGUCCCUGAUAACAAGAACUUAAUGCUGUUGGACAGGCUGUCUCUGCUGUACAUGCCACGGACAUGAACGAGGAUAGUCCCGACCCAGCACACAUGCAGGAACUAUGCUCGUCAACCGAUUUAUUAAUAAUUAAUAAUCAUCAAUAAUUAAUAAUCAUAAACUGUGAGGUAAGAUUAGUAUACAUACAUCAGAAGGCCUACUCUCUCAUCCCUGCAUAAAAAGACACAUGUGCAAAUGAGAUGCUAAAAUUCAAUGGUUAAAAGCAGCACUUUAAAGGAAAAUUCACUAAUCACACUGAUGCACAUUAUGACAGAAACCCUUAACAAUGUUCUAACAUCAUAAAUACAGCGAUUAUGAUAUAAAGAGACAGUAAAGCAAAUACAGGAUAAAUGUGAAACAGCAAAACGACCUCUGCUUCCCCGUCGACAUACAGCAUGAGCGCAAAUGCUUAAAGGGGAAACAAUAAAUCUUCCUAUGGUGUCCCAGUAAUUAUUCCUGAUUAAACCACUGAAAAUACAACAUUACAUACAAGUUUUGCUGAAGUUAACUCAAUUAUAGAAUUGUUUCUUUAUUCCUCUAUGGCAUGGUGUCGCCCUCAGGAAACAUAAAAGGUUUUUGGACUUCACACCGGAUCUAUAUAUGACACGUCUGUUCAAUGAAAUGAGGGGCUGAAGUGGGUGCAGCCUUUUCUGUUUAUCCACAUUUCAUGAUGGAUAUAUUAUCAGGGACCCCCAAGGGUUAAAUAAAAACAAACAAAACAAGCCCUAUAAUUUAAUAAAAUAACACAUAUUAUGAAGACACUUUAUAUUUAAUGGUAUUAGAUGAUUUGAUAGUUGCAUUUAAUAGAUUACAACUUCAAUAAAACAUUUGUAUUUUGUUUGUAACAUUGUAUCUGGAAUGGUAAAACAUUGUUGACUUAUCUUAAGUCUGAAUUUCUGAUGAACUCUUAUAGCGCUGCAGGACUAGCCUACAGCAAACACUGAACCAGACUAUUAAAUGUUGAGCAAGGGAUCUCAUUGGCUGCAGGAUCAGCAGAGACCAAUCAGCCUGAGUCAUUUGGUAUUGAUGUGAUUGCUUACAGACUGCAUGUAAAGGACCGAUCGAAGCCUGUGCCAUCUUCAGUUUCAUGACUGAACUAGAUUUCUGACAUGACAAUUCUUGGAGAGUUUGUCAUGGUAAUGAAUAUGACAAUGUUAAUGUGUUUGGUCUGCUGCUGUUGAUUAUAUCUGCUGUAGAGUACAGAACUUUCCACUGCCAAAACACACACAACAUGCUGCUGCUGUACGAGCAAACAUGAAUCACCCCAUAGCAGAUCUGGACAGGUGGAGCUGGGGGAGGUGGAGGAUUUCUGAAAGUACACUGCACUGCUACAGCAAACAAUAGACAAGUGUUUGAAUGUUGAGCAGCAAGAUCAUUGACUACUGAUACAGCAGGAAUCAUUCAGUGUGUCCUGUAGAGAAUGAUGUGUAAAUGUGUAUGUCUGACUCUGUAUAUUUACUGUUACUGUGCUUUGCUGAUGUAAAGCCUUUCUUUUAACCCUGUCAGUAAAACUAUUGGACUCUGAAUGUAUAUCGUCCUGAUCUCUCUUCUGUCUUUUGCAUUCAGAGGGUGUUUUACAUGAGCGGCACAUGCUUCACUGCUCUAAAUGUGUUUAUAGCUCUAUGAACUGAACAUGACAUGAUCAAGAGCUCUUCUUCAUCAACCAACAAACAUGACUUUCAGCUGCAGCUGCUCAUAAACACAAUCACACACAACACUGAUCACAGACAAACACUAAUAACACUAGAUCAUCUAAAUCAACAUCAAUCUUGUGUUUAUGAAGAGAAUGAGUCAGUGUUUAAUACGAUCAUCAUGUUUUAGGUGUAAUAUAUGAUCCCUGUCAAUCAAACUGAACAGACUGAAUUCAGUCACUUCUGCUGUCUGGAUGUGAUGCUUCUCAUUUGAUGUUCAUGACAUUUUCAUAUAUAUUUUCAUCACCACAUUUUCAGCAGAAGUGAAACUGGUGUGUUCCAGUCCAGAUCAUGUGACCAAUCAAACAGUGAGACUGAAAAGCCCAUUUGCAUUGUCAGGGUGGAGUGAUUCUGAUCCUCUCAGAAUAGAGCAGCUCUGUCUCCAGAGACCAUGUUCAAACCCCAAGAGCUUUAUUUGACAUUUACAUCAAGCUUGUGAAAAGCACCUGCAUCUUCAUCUGUUAGUUGAAUGAUGUUGUCAGACACAAAGUGAACUUGUUGAGAAGCUUUAUUGAAUGUUACAGCAGAUUGAAAGAUCACACAGUGCUUUGACACGCCAGCUCUCUUUCAGUAUUGAGUUGUAAAUCACUACAGCUGCAGCACUAGACUCAUGUGAAUCCUGCCUGACACAGGACACUCAGA
Long non-coding RNA from Ctenopharyngodon idella (grass carp), 4814 nucleotides. RefSeq lists it as uncharacterized. NCBI's taxonomy places the organism in Eukaryota, Metazoa, Chordata, Actinopteri, Cypriniformes, Xenocyprididae. The transcript has 2 exons. The record is from RefSeq and is a predicted model, not a curated record.